Molecule: ribosomal RNA, 397 nt
Filed under: Peridexia fulvipes
Lineage: Eukaryota; Metazoa; Arthropoda; Insecta; Coleoptera; Carabidae
Description: SSU rRNA
Rfam family: Eukaryotic small subunit ribosomal RNA
Source: RNAcentral
UUGUCUCAAAGAUUAAGCCAUGCAUGUCUCAGUACAAACUAAAUUAAAGUGAAACCGCGAAAGGCUCAUUAAAUCAGUUAUGGUUCCUUAGAUCGUACCACAUCUCUACUUGGAUAACUGUGGUAAUUCUAGAGCUAAUACAUGCAAACAGAGUUCUAACCGGAGACGGGAGGAAUGCUUUUAUUAGAACAAAACUAAUUGUGUCAUCCCUUAUGGCUCCAUAUGAUUCUGUAUCUUUGCAUACGUUCAUAUGUCCUGGGUGUAUGUACACAUUAAAUAUAAUUGGUGAAUCUGAAUAACUUGCUGAUCGCAUGGUCUUGUACCGGCGACGCAUCUUUCAAAUGUCUGCCUUAUCAACUUUCGAUGGUAGGAUCUGCGCCUACCAUGGUUGUAACGG